RNAcentral lists this unclassified non-coding RNA (200 nucleotides) under soil metagenome. RNAcentral describes it as "partial contains internal transcribed spacer 2 and large subunit ribosomal RNA". The record is from RNAcentral.
UCAUGAAAACAUCAUCCCACCGGUUUCCGGUGGCGAUGGACUUGGGUGUUGCCGUCCGGCUCGCCUCAAAUGUGUUAGUGGUCUGACCCUGAAUCUGGCGUAAUAAGUUUCGCUGGCCUAGGACGAAGACCGCUCAUAACCCGUCUUCUGACAUCUUUGCUUCUGACCUCAAAUCAGGUAGGACUACCCGCUGAACUUAA